Molecule: long non-coding RNA, 3031 nt
Filed under: Citrus sinensis (sweet orange)
Lineage: Eukaryota; Viridiplantae; Streptophyta; Magnoliopsida; Sapindales; Rutaceae
Description: long non-coding RNA (CSIN_LNC003133)
Source: RNAcentral
GCAUAUACUAAUCAUUUUUUGGUUAGGUAGUCGAGUAACUGUUUAUUAGAACCUUUGUCAGUUCAUUCACCUAAAGAAGCAGAUGAGCCAUGUGUGGCCUUAGAAGAUGGUGUUGUAGAUGCAUUUCGUGCUCCUGGAUGCCCUCUUAUUUUUUUGUGUACGAGGGUAGUGUAUUUAGGUUGCAUAUUCUGACCAUUUGUUAUUAGGCACUAUCGGUCAGAGAUGGCUAAUUGUAGAAACUUGAUAUGUAUUUAGGGCUAUAUCUCUGUUAAUUCUUCUCUAUUAUAACUGUCUUAAAAUUCCAGUAAAAUUACUUAUUGAAUUUUUUGUAGCUUAAAUUUGGUUUUGUUUUGUUUCAGAUUUUGAUGAAUUAUGAUGUUGAAGGGUUUCGACUCUUUUGUAAUCUACUUUGCUUUGACUAAUGAUGUUCAAUCCUACAGAUAUUAUAUCUUUGUAGAUUCAAUUUUCCGUUGUUAAAUUUAAGUGAUCUUUUAUUUUUCCUUUGUGGCUUGCAUGCAUGCAUGAGUGUCGAAAAGGUCACUGGAGUGUUAUUUUUUGGUUGUUGGGCACUUGCAUUAAUUGUAUUUACUCUCCUACAACUGCAGAUUUAUGUGCCCAUACAUUAUGAAGCUCAUUGGUACAUGCUUGUUAUUGACAUUCUUCGUCAAACUGCUGAUAUUUGGGAUUCAUUGGAAUCUCUCAGUCAAAGAGAAAAAAUGAUUAAUCAGUCAUUGACAAUUGUAUGUUCUUAGGAGGAUUGACUACAUUUGUGCGUUAGUCGGAAUUUGAUUAAAUAACAUUCUAAAUUUUGUUAACACUUAUUCUGGUUGAUGUUGGCAGCUCGCCUCACUGGAUUUUUUGCUACUUAGAGAGGCUCGACUUCGUUUUGGUUCAAAUUUCAAUUUUCUGCAUUUUCAACUUGGUCGUCAAACUGGUUUGCCACAACAGCCAAAUGAUUUUGAUUGUGGAUACUACACCUUGAAAUAUAUGGACAAUCCCUCUAUUGUUGCUGACCAGUCUUAUCAGGUAUAUGCUUUUUUUUUUUUCAAUCUUGAACAUUGAUGAUUCUGAUAUUUAGUUCAUGAUCAAUGCUUUCUUCAGACCAUUUAUCAGUCAUUAUGUUUAAUGAUUCUGUAUUUAGAUUAAUAACAAUGAUAACAGAGGAGUACUGCAAAGAAGUAAUAAAUAUUAAAGUUUUCUUUAUGAAGAGUACUUUUAAGGCAUAACUAGGAGUACUCGAUAAUUUUUUUUCCUUUUAAGGAUGUAUUAAGCAAGCUGUUUUUAGAAGAUAUCUAGUUUUGAAAGCAAUAAGACAUACUUUUUAGCAAGUAAACAAGCACCAAAAAUGUGAAUUGUUAAAAAUCUGCAUAUGUAAAAGGCCAAGUAUUUAUAUUUAAGAAGCAUUAUUAUAUGUUGCAAGUCAACUACUUUUGUGAAAAAAUAAGCUUGCUGCUAGUAAUUAGGUAACAACCACUGGAGUCGUGAACUAUGUGGACUUUGUUAUUUUUAUAUAAAUUCAUCUUGUGAGCAUAUAGAAAUUGUUGUAAUUAGUGUUUCUUUUUUGUUAGCACGAUUCGGAUUAUGCUCGCAUCCUGUUGGCACUCUAUCCAGCACAAUCUCCACUUAAUGAUAUUCUAGGAAAUAAAAUCAUUAACCUUAAAGGAUUAUUGUUAUUAUUAUUAUCAAUUAUAUUGAGACAACACAAUAAAAAAUAAAAAUACUGAUACUAUAAAAUAUUUAUUUUAGUUAUCAAAUAAUUAUAUAUACAUAUUGAGAAAUAUUAUAUGUGUGUGUGUGUGUGUUUAUAAAUAUUGAAAUAAAUUUCAUUCAAUAUUAUGUCUAAUUUAGUCAUUUACAUUUUUACUGUAGAUUAACAGUACGAUUUACCAAAUAUAUACAACCGCUUUUAAAACUAACAGUACUUUUAAAAAUAAAUUAUACCAAAUAUUUCACUGAUUCUUUCACAUGUAAUUGUUUCUAUAACACAGUUACCAACGAUUAUUUUACAAGUUAUAACAUUACCAAACUAGCCCUUAAUCCAACAUUGAGCUCAUUUGUAAAUAAUUAUAUAGUGUGGAUUGUCUUAAAAGGUUAAAGCUACUUAACAGUAAUCUAUUAAAUUUUCAGUAAUUUAAGUUUUAAUAUAUUUAAUGCAGUGUGACAUUUUAAUAUAUAGAGAUUUAAGAGUAAUUUUUUAUUUUUAUGAUCAGUUAAAAUAGGAAACCUAAAAAUAACAUAGAAAAUUAUUUAUAUCGGUAUUUAUAAUCCCUAGGGCACACGUAACAUUUUCUUAUUUUAUGACAUCUCAUCAUCACAGAGAGUGCAUAGCACGAUUCGGAUUAUGCUCGCAUCCUGUUGGCACUCUAUCCAGCACAAUCUCCACUUAAUGAUAUUCGGCAUAAACUCAUGCAAGAUGCUUCCAAUGGAUAUGGAAAGUGUGGUGCUGCUGACUCGCAAAGGGCCCCUUGUAAACAAACUUCAGAAUUAAGAAAAGCUGCCAGAAAUAUUAAUCUUAACCAGACACCGUCCGAGGCUUUAUUAAAAACAUUACUAUGAUCUCUAAAGGUAUGUUAAGUCGCUUGUCAUUCCCAUUUUUGAUCUUAUGUCCUAUGCUUAUCAAUUGUUAUUAAGUUGUUUUUUCUAUUUCUUUUAGUGAGUUAUGAUGUUUUUGGUAGACCAAUUAAACUUGUUAUUAAUCAUCUGCUUGUGUUUUGAACUAGGUGUCACUACACUUGGAAUGGCAGCUUUUAUAUUUUGGUAUUCGAAACCAUUUUGUUUUUGAAUAUUUUUGUAACAACACCUUUUUUGUAUAGCAUAUACUAAUCAUUUUUUGGUUAGGUAGUCGAGUAACUGUUUAUUAGAACCUUUGUCAGUUCAUUCACCUAAAGAAGCAGUCAAGCAGAUGAGCCAUGUGUGGCCUUAGAAGAUGGUGUUGUAGAUGCAUUUCGUGCUGCUGGAUGCCCUCUUAUUUUUUUGUGUCCGAGGGUAGUGUAUUUAGGUUGCAUAUUCUGACCAUUUGUUAUUAGGCACU